CGACGAUGCGUAGGGGUUCUGAGAGGAAGGUCCCCCACACUGGUACUGAGACACGGACCAGACUCCUACGGGAGGCAGCAGUGAGGAAUAUUGGUCAAUGGGAGAGAUCCUGAACCAGCCAAGCCGCGUGAGGGAAGACGGCCCUAUGGGUUGUAAACCUCUUUUGUCGGAGAACAAAACCCGGGACGUGUCCCGGACUGCGUGUAUCCGAAGAAAAAGCAUCGGCUAACUCCGUGCCAGCAGCCGCGGUAAUACGGAGGAUGCGAGCGUUAUCCGGAUUUAUUGGGUUUAAAGGGUGCGUAGGCGGUCCGUUAAGUCAGCGGUAAAAUUGCGGGGCUCAACCCCGUCGAGCCGUUGAAACUGGCAGACUUGAGUUGGCGAGAAGUACGCGGAAUGCGCGGUGUAGCGGUGAAAUGCAUAGAUAUCGCGCAGAACUCCGAUUGCGAAGGCAGCGUACCGGCGCCAGACUGACGCUGAGGCACGAAAGCGUGGGGAUCGAACAGGAUUAGAUACCCUGGUAGUCCACGCAGUAAACGAUGAAUGCUGGUUGUCCGGGUCGAAUGAGAUCUGG
This 571-nucleotide ribosomal RNA is filed under the name uncultured bacterium. RNAcentral describes it as "bacterial SSU rRNA". It matches the Rfam family "Bacterial small subunit ribosomal RNA", at positions 274 to 842 of the family's 1533-position model. The record is from RNAcentral.